RNAcentral lists this unclassified non-coding RNA (746 nucleotides) under Homo sapiens (human). Its description in RNAcentral is "MUC20 overlapping transcript (ENSG00000280993.2)". The record is from RNAcentral. Lineage: Eukaryota; Metazoa; Chordata; Mammalia; Primates; Hominidae.
GACGGAGAAGAGUGUUGAGAGUCCUGGGGUGACAACACCUGGGUCCCCUGCUCACCUGAGCCACAGACUCGCCAGGCAGCUGCUCCCAACCCCAGAACCUUUGCUGUCUUGGGACGGAUCACCACUGCAAGAGGGGAAGUUGCUACUGUGAUGAAUUCUGCCAUGUGGCACCAGACUGCCACCCAGACCACAGUGUCCUCUGCAACCCUGGUAACUCACAUACAGGCCCGAUUCCACCGACAGCAAAGCUGGAUGCUAUGGCUGGCAGAGGCAAACCCUUUGCCUGCACUUCAGGCCAAAGCCGGGAUGUGGCCUAGAUGGUUCCUAAGGUCCCUGACAAUCCUGAGAUCUUGCAUCUUGUCUAUUUCAGGUCAAAGGUGCCUACAUGCUCCUUCUAGCUUUGUUUCCCUGAUGUUCCUUGCCACCUGCUACUCCUCUCUGAGCUACUUUUCCAGGUUCCACAGGGAGAGGUUCAGCUGUCCGUGGUAGACAUGAGGGUAGAGAGUGAGGUGGUUGGGUUCCACUUACCUUUCUAUCAUCUUGCAGUAUGGAUGUCUCUUGACUGGUACCGUGUAGACUUUUGAGGGCACACAGGAGUCUGCAGAGAGAUACUGGGGACAUUGAGCAGCAGCAGUGGGGUUGGGAGGCAGAAAUGAGGACAGGAACAUUUACCUUGUGUUUCUCUCAGCUUCUCAGAUGACCAAGAUGGUGCUGCAGAUGGUGCUGAGGAUGGAGAACCCACCAAG